GUGAUUUUCCCGCGCGUUUGUGUUUUCUUUGUUUUUAUCAAUUUUUUACUAAGUUUAUUUUCUUUAUAAAUCCCUAAUUUUAAUUAUUUUAUAAAGCAAAUUCUAGUGACAUUGCCAGGAUUGUAAAUUUAAGUGAAAUGGAAGAAAAUCUUAGUGAACUGUGCAAUAAACAUUUGCCAAAGUGGCUUCAAGAUAGAGACAGAACAAUUUUCACUCAAUUCAUUGAAAUUAGGCCUAAUAUAACUUUUAUAGCUGUUAUCCUUGUUUCUGGGCAGUACUAUGAAGUUUGGGAUAGAGAAAUCCUUAGGGAAUGUUCUCUGGAAAGAAAUGCUGGAGGUUUCUCAGCUUCUGAGGGAGUUUCCAUGGAUAUUUUCUUUUCGUAUGAGGAAGAAAAUGCUCGUAGGGUGUUCUAUUUAAUUAGAAUUGGAGAAAAGCUUUUCGUUGUGGAGAGACUGAGGAGCAGUUUGAGUGUCCGGAUGAUGGAGGAGAAUGUUUUGUCGGUAGAGAUUGAGGAUAAGUCAGAGGAAGGGAAUCCUACAGUAUUGAUUACAAAGAAGGAUGGCUCGUUUAGGGAGACAAAUUUCUCAGAAAAAGAACUGGAGGAUGCAGAAGAUGAAAUUGAACCAUCAAUAUUUCUCCUGAAUUACUUAGAAUCUCAUAAGAGGCGGCUGGAAAGUGGUCAGGAGGUGAGAAGACAAGUUAUUCGAGAAGAAUUACACAAAAUUCAGCAUGUGGCAAAAUAUGGGCCUCAAGAGAUGCACGAUGGGGUUCCGGAUGAAGCGGCUCCUCUGGUGAAGUAUGGUGAGGUCUGGGCAAAAUUCCACAACGACAGAAUUGUCUUUGGUAUUCCAAUCUUCAAUACAACGUACACUCGACGACGUGUGGCUCUCAAUAUUAGACCAUCAUUGGCAACCACCCAAUUAGAUCGCUUGAGCUAUGAAUUCAAAUUGUACAAAAUUAGAAACGAUUCUUGUACGUUUGAGAAUGUUGAUGAACUAUUUGACUAUGAGGAGCCCUGCUAUGCAAAUUCCUGUGACUUCCAGCACGAAUGGAUGCCAUUGGAGGAAAACAAUCUUCAGCCAGGAUUGUCGGCAAUACUUGUGACUAAUACUCAAGUAAUGAAUUUUACCAAUGUAUCAACGUACAAAUUCACUGUGUAUGUUCAGUAUGAGAUUCAGCACGAGGGAAAAGUGUAUUCGCUACAAUUGUUGGCUGGAGAUAUGGAAAUUACUCCUAAGAUUUUCCUUACACCUCUCUUCGACACGGAAAUUCAAGAGAGAAAUUUUUUUUAUCGCAAUCUUGUGGCAAUCGCGUCGAAUUCUUCAUUCAAAGUCGUUCAUAUGGAGGUAGGAGGAAGUAAGAUAAGUCAGCGAUUCUAUCGCUUUUUGAUGGAAAACUUGAAAUUUCAUCAAAUAACUCAGCCUCAAGCCACAAUGGCCUCAUCAGCAGGGGAAGUUGAGGGCACAGAUGAGGUAUCAAUGCGUGAGGAAUUGAUGGAGGAUGUUGAGAUGAGGGAGGUAAAUGCUGAUGAGUCACAUUUUAUGGCCACCAAUAUGUUCAGCAAUCAAAAGAGACCAACAAUGAUGUUUUAUCAGCCGGAUGGUUUCUGGAGAGGUGGCUUGAUUAGGAUCCAAGAGAACAGCGAAUACCGAUUGAAAUUGAAACUGUAUAUGAGAACUGAUAAUCAUUUCGCGUGUUUUCUUGGAGCGAUAAAAACCACUUUUGGUUGCAAGGUCACAUUUGUUGAUGAGGAAAAUUCUCAAGAUACAUGCUUAGUCAUUCAGAGUCUAAUUGAGGAGAUCAAUUGCAAAAAGCAACUUCUGAAAAUGCUUCCGGAAACAGGAAAGGAUGGAGAAAAUGUCAGAGAGUCUUUGAAGGAAGUCUUCCGCAAAGAACUGAAGACAGAUUACGUUUUCAACAGGCUCUCAUCAGAUCGCGAUCGAAACUUAAUCAAAUAAGCCAUCCUCAAGCCACAAUGGUCUCAUCAGCAGGGGAAGUUGAGGGCACAGAUGAGGUAUCAAUGCGUGAGGAAUUGAUGGAGGAUGUGGAGAUGAGGGAGGUAAAUGCUGAUGAGUCACAUUUUAUGGCCACCAAUAUGUUCAGCAAUCAAAAGAGACCAACAAUGUUGUUUUAUCAGCCGGAUGGUUUCUGGAGAGGUGGCUUUAUAUUAGAAUCCAAGAGAACAGCGAAUAACGAUUGAAAUUGAAACUGUAGAUUAGUACCGAUAAUUUAAUUUUGGCUGCAAGGCCACAUUUGUUGAAAAUGCUUCCGGAAA
RNA transcript from Phlebotomus papatasi, 2275 nucleotides. RefSeq lists it as uncharacterized. The transcript has 9 exons. Lineage: Eukaryota; Metazoa; Arthropoda; Insecta; Diptera; Psychodidae. The record is from RefSeq and is a predicted model, not a curated record.